Rosa chinensis is the source of this 1437-nucleotide long non-coding RNA. RefSeq lists it as uncharacterized. The transcript is spliced from 6 exons. NCBI's taxonomy places the organism in Eukaryota, Viridiplantae, Streptophyta, Magnoliopsida, Rosales, Rosaceae. The record is from RefSeq and is a predicted model, not a curated record.
AGGUGACUUAAUUUUUUUUUUUUUAAGUAUUUUUUGGCAUAACUACGGAAGUCUCGUGUUUUCCCCACCACACUCAUCAGUUUUGCCUAAAACUCAAGUCUAAACCGCAAAAACUCGAACCUCCACAGCGAAAACACGGCCAUCUCUCAAAUCUUAACCCAAAACUUGGCCAUCUCUCAAAUCUGAACCUAGAUCGAACUCAUCUCAGUCUUUUCACCCAAACCUAAUCAUUCUUAGUCUUUCCUUCACCUAUGAACCCGGAGAAUCCUUGAUGUUUUCAUUCAUGUGCGGCUUAAUGGAGCUGUUCAGCAACCACUCAACAAAUUAGAGCAAGUUUCACUAUUAUGUUUUCGAUUGGAUUAUUGGGUUUGGACGACAUUUCUUGUUUUUCUGGUCAUCUACGCUGCUUGGGUCUCCGCCUUUGAAUUUGGCUGUCUUAAGAAACCACAAGGACCACUCUCCAUUAUUGACAAUAUUGUCAAUGGCUUUCUUUGCUAUAGAUAUUGUUCUUACAAUUUCUGUGGCUUACUUGGAUAAAGCUUACCUGGGAAGUGCAUUUUUCCUCUGUACUCUACUUUCUAUGAUUCUUUUUUAAUAGAUUGGAGGAAGAUAAAGACUUCUUUGAUGAUUUUUGCUUUGGUACUUAUUUUACUGCCUUAUGUUUUUCUUCUUAGUCGGAAAUUUUGAGGAAAGGUUAACAUCAAUUUGUUCUGUUUAUGUGGAGUUAAGAUGUUCUUCUCUCUUGUCAGGUGGUCUGCAGGAGUUUGGUGCACCUAUGGGUGGGGCUCCAUCAAUACAUGUUUGCUAGCUAACUCUAUGUACUUUGAAUCUCCUGAGGUGGUAGGUAGCAGCUGAGUACAUAAAUAGAGGUUAUAUGACAUGGUUACAGUCGCACAAAAUUUUGUCAGUGGAAACAACCCAAAAGGGUUUGCUUCUACUUUAGUUCAUUUCAUGGGCAAGGAAUUUAGGAUAGAACUGAUGAAUUAAAUACUUAUCUACACAAGUAUCACAGAGUUGGAUCCACAUCUUGGUGCUCUUGUGGGGAGAUAUAUAAGGAAGCUGAGAAGUUUGCUUAUCAGAAUGGAGCAAAGGUGGCUGUUAUUUAUGGUGGAGCGCCGAUGGGUUAGCAGCUUCGUGAUCUGGAGAGAGUUGUUGACAUCCUAGUUGCCACUCAAGGCGCGUAGUGAACAUGAUUGAAAGGUCGUGAUUCCAUUCAUGAUCAGAUUGUGAUACUGGUACAACAGUACAACUAGCUAGUUCCUUUAUUAACUUGUGUCUAGUAGAAAUUCUUCCUUUAUUAAGCAUUUGGACUUGUUUCCAGAUCCAGAAUAGUAGGAUAUGGGUCGUUUUGAACUGUUGUUCAUGAUUAGAUUUGUGUACAUGAGACAAUGGUGGAUUAAUGCAAAUUGCAAUGAAUGAUUUGGGACGUGGAUUUUA